AUGGUGAAAUGAGGUAAGACGCAGUUGGGAUUGGACGGUUUAUGGUGAAGAGGAGGAUUUUACGAUUUAUGGUGAAGAGGAGGAUUUUGUCGCACAUGGCCAAAUUGAACAUUGCAUCCUUUACUGCUGCACACAAAACCAAACCCGCAUGGAUGAUGAAAUUGAGAAGGGUUCCUCGUUGAAUUUGCUUUCUCGUUUGUGGGUUUUGUUCAAUUGUUCGUUGCCCUCGAUUGCUUGCACUGUGAAACUUUUAGUAGAUCCAACUUCUUCAAUGUAAGCUUCCGAAUAGGUUAAAAAGGUAUCAUUUUCCAUUCU
Cajanus cajan (pigeon pea) is the source of this 315-nucleotide non-coding RNA. The record is from RefSeq and is a predicted model, not a curated record. NCBI's taxonomy places the organism in Eukaryota, Viridiplantae, Streptophyta, Magnoliopsida, Fabales, Fabaceae.